RNAcentral lists this ribosomal RNA (256 nucleotides) under uncultured bacterium. RNAcentral's name for it is "partial 16S ribosomal RNA". It matches the Rfam family "Bacterial small subunit ribosomal RNA", at positions 524 to 776 of the family's 1533-position model. The record is from RNAcentral.
CACGUAGGGCGCAAGCGUUUGUCCGGAAUUAUUGGGCGUAAAGAGCUCGUAGGUGGUUUGUUACGUCUGCUGUGAAAAACCUAGGGCUUAACCCUGGGCUUGCAGUGGAUACGGGCAGGCUAGAGUUCGGUAGGGGAGACUGGACUUCCUGGUGUAGCGGUGAAAUGCGCAGAUAUCAGGAGGAACACCGGUGGCGAAGGCGGUUCUCUGGGCAUGUCCUGACGCUGAGGAGCGAAAGUGUGGGGGAGCGAACAGG